GUGCUCACUUGAACAGCACAUACACUAAAAUUGGAACGAUACAGGGAAGAUUAGCCUGGCUCCUGCACAAAGAUGACACGCAAAUUCGUGAACGGUUCCAUAGUAAA
Small nuclear RNA from Saimiri boliviensis boliviensis (Bolivian squirrel monkey), 107 nucleotides. NCBI's taxonomy places the organism in Eukaryota, Metazoa, Chordata, Mammalia, Primates, Cebidae. The record is from RefSeq and is a predicted model, not a curated record.